This is a long non-coding RNA of Diabrotica virgifera virgifera (western corn rootworm), 7263 nucleotides long. RefSeq lists it as uncharacterized. The transcript is spliced from 2 exons. Lineage: Eukaryota; Metazoa; Arthropoda; Insecta; Coleoptera; Chrysomelidae. The record is from RefSeq and is a predicted model, not a curated record.
UUCUGAAAAUACCAUGGACGGCUAUGCUGACUAAUGUGGCAGUCCUUAAGAGAGCAAAUGCUACCCGCGAGCUGCUUGAUAACAUCAAAUAUAGAAAGAUGGCCUAUUUUGGACACGUAGUAAGGGGAGACCGGUAUAAUAUUCUUCAACUUAUUAUGAUGGGUAAAAUCGAAGGACGCAGAGGAAUUGGUAGAAAGCAGGCCUCUUGGUUGAAGAAUAUCCGGGAGUGGACAGGAAUAAAGAAAGCAGAACACCUAUUUAGAAUAGCUCGAGACAGAGACAGUUUCGCCAUGUUAAUCGCCAACGUCAAGGGGACUUGAUAGGGCACGUUAAGAAGAAGAAGGAGCUAUUUGUGAAAUUUUGAAGAUUUAUUUUAACACGAGAACUGAAAUAUUUUCGCAAAUCUGAUGAGAAAUGGCAUAUUAAUAAUUUGGAAUCUUCAUAGGAGCCCAUUAAUUCGAGAGAGGUAGAUAUGACCUUAGAGCAGUAAUAUUGUUCUGAAGCUUUCUUUUUGUGGCAUUUAUUUAAUUUACUAUUCUAAUUGGUAAAUAAGUCACAAUUUAACUUGAAAAAUCAUUUUAUUUUAUUAUUAAAUUAUUAUUUUGUUAAAUUACAUCAGUUUUCAAGUUAAAUUCUGGCUUAUUUCCCAAUUAGAAUAGUAAAUUACUUAGAACAGUAAAUUUCAGCCGAUUUAGGGAAACACGUUGUUACUUUAGAUCAAGGUAUGUGUCAAAUGAAAGUAUUCAAUGAACGGAUCCAUUUGUGCAUCUUCUCUGCUUUGGCUGGGGAAUUCCGAAGAUAUGUAACACUAGCGCCACCUGUCGACAAGUCUUUUAAGUUUGACUGUAAGUUUAAACAGAUCUUGCUUCGUCUACAUAACACGUUUGUUUAAUAACACAUUUGAAGACAAUAAUUGAUACAAUGUUCUAAAAAAAGCUACUAUUACUGGUGUCUGACACAAUUCUGGAGUUAUACAGUUUCAAAAAAGUCUACUCCAUUUUCGUGUAUUGUACACGUUUCUGGACAAAUAAUUCCUAUCAAGCGUAAGAUACAUUAAUAUCUAUUCCUGGAUUCGACUGGAUGGAUACAAUUCUAAUUAAUGUUAAAAAUAUGAUGCCAAAAAGAAAAAUAUUGGAAUUAUUAAAACUACACUUACACUGACUUAGUGACGAGAGCUUACUAAGACAUAAACGGACAAAAUACGUACUUUUAGUUGACAAAGUAGAUGAUUAUUCAAACUAAUUUUGUAAACAGGUAUGUGUAGCAGAUUAGUGUCUAUUCAGUGAAGAACUCAAAAUAUUGGAAAAUCGUAAAUUACCAUCACAGAUACUUCUUGUGAUGCCACGGAUCAAUAGUGAAUGCUAAAAAAUAACCCGACUCGGCAUAAUCCCUAAUAUUUUUUAGACUAGAUAUAUUUAAUAUUACAAAAGACGGUUCGCCAGAUAAAUAACAUACAAUAUAAUCAUCUAGUAACUAUUAACGGACCUCCACGACGAUUUUACAAUCAUAAAUAGGAUACAUUUUUUGCUCCGUCAAAUUUGUUAUAGUGAAAAUGACUGAACAAAGACUGCGCCACGUUACAAUUGAAUAACAAGUAGAUAGUCCAUGUGGUGAGACCGCUCCCGUCUGGAAACAUUUCUGAUUCGGUUUCUUUGUGGAUUCCUAUUCAAAAAUGUCCCCUUUAAACAAAUCUGAAGGGUGCCGGGCGGAAUUUUUGGGCAGAAAUUGUUUAAACAAUUUUUUUAACAAAUACAAAAGAUCACGUUUUUUUCCUCCGGAACAUAUAUUUUUGAGUUUUGUCGGUGAUUCUGAACAAGAAAGGUAUCUUGUAAAUUUUCUCAAAAAUUGAUUGAUUGAUUUAAAAUCUGAAAAAUGCGAAAAUACGCAUUUUCGAGACUUAAAAACUCAUAUUCAAAUUAGUAUUUUUGAGGUUGCCAGAUACUUAAAUUGAAGACUAAAUAUUCAGCUUCCAGAUUCUGAAGAGUGAUCGCGUCUAACUUUAAUUUAUACCGUUGUUUUUUAAUUGUUAAAUAUGCGUGUUUAUCAGAUUUUUUUGCCGGUGCGGCGCGCUCUGUUUCAAAAAUCUCCUAUUUUCCUCCGAAAAAUAUUUUUUAUAGAUUCUUUGGGACAUUCUAAAUAAAAUAAGUUUCUUGACAUUUUUCUCAAAAGUUAAUAGUUUUAAAGUUAUGAGCGAUUUAAAAUCCGAAAAUGCGUUUUUUGUGAUUUUUCGGAUUUUCAAUCGCUUAUAACUUAAACUAUUAACUUUUGAGAAAAAUGUCAAGAAACUUAUUUUAUUUAGAAUGUCCCAAAGAAUCUAGCAAAAAUAUUUUUCGGAUGAAAAUAGGAGAUUUUUUAAAUGGAGCGCGCCGCACCGGCAAAAAAAAUCGGAUACACACGCAUAUUUAACAAUUAAAAAACAACGGUAUAAAUUAAAGUUAGACGCGAUCACUCUUCAGAAUCUGGAAGCUGAAUAUUUAGUCUUCAAUUUAAGUUUCUGGCAACCUCAAAAAUACUAAUUUGAAUAUGAGUUUUUAAGUCUCGAAAAUGCGUAUUUUCGCAUUUUUCAGAUUUUAAAUCGCCUAUAACUCGAAAAUUAUCAAUUUUUGAGAAAAUUUACAAGAUACCUUUCUUGUUCAGAAUCACCGACAAAACUCAAAAAUAUAUGUUCCGGAGGAAAAAAACGUGAUCUUUUGUAUUUGUUAAAAAAAUUGUUUAAACAAUUUCUGCCCAAAAAUUCUGCCCGGCAUCCUUCAGAUUUGUUUAAAGGGGACAUUUUUGAAUAGGAAUCCACAAAGAAACCGAAUCAGAAAUUUUUUUCAGACGCGAGCGGUCUCACCACAUGGACUAAGAUACAUUUCAAAUCAAUAGAAAUCAGUCUGUCUCCAAUGAAAAUAUAACGUGUUCCAUCACAGACACACGAAAUAUUUUGUGAAUUUUUUACAAACGAUGUAAAGCAAGUAAGAUUUAAAAGAAAACGUCCAUCGGUAGUAAAUUACAGACUCCUUUGUAGGACUACUAGUCUAGUUGUUUUCUUUUUUAAUUGUGAAGGCUUUGUUAAAUGUUUAACUUAUUUUUUUAGUCACCCUUACUAAUUUACUAAUCUUGAGUGCCGGCUUGACUGGUUCAAGCAAUCUGGUUAUUCUCAAGAAUGAUUAUUCAUCAUUUUGUAUGUACGAGGUCAUUCGUAAAAAAGCUUUCCUACGCACCUGAGAAAGAAUGCGACGUGUUGGGAGAAAUCUGGCAACACUGUCUUACACGUCACUCUCUCUUACCCCAUCACUUUCGCGUCGCUGUAUUGCUCAGUGUCGGCCUAGCAGCUUUUGAAGAUGUAAAUUCCGGUAGCUGUUACCACCAAUGUGAAAUUCAUGCUGUGAUACGUUUCGUAAAUGCAAAAUGAAUUUCACCUAUUGAUAUUCAUCGUCAAUUACUCGAAGUUUAUGGGUAAAAGUGCAUAUCUGUUCAACAUGUUCGCUAAUGGUGUAGAGAAUUCAGUGUAGACCGAACGGAAAUUCACGAUGAAUCUGAAGGCGUCGCACACCGAAUGCCGAAGGCGUCCCAUGAAUGUCAAUAGGUGAAAUCCAUUUUAAAAAAAACGUAUCACAGUAUGAAUUUCACAUUGGCGGUAACAACGACCGGGACCUCCAUCUUCGAAGGCUGCUAGGCCGGCACUGAGCAAUGCAGCGUGGCGAAAAUGGUGGGGUAAGAUAGUGGUAGAGUAAAUGCAUAAGGCAGUGUUGCCAGAUUUCUUCCAGCACGUCGCACUCUUUUUCAACGACAUAGGGAACCUUUUUUUACGAAUGACCCUCGUAAUUUGUACAAUUUCUAGUUAAACCGUGCAUGGAAAUUUUCAUAUAUUUGAAAAUAUACAUUCCAGCCAUAUUUUUCACAAAAAUAUUUAGGAAUAAGAGCAUUUUUUUUAUAUUUUAAGAACUCUGGAGGUGUCAACAUACAGUUUGAUAGUUACUAUAGCUAGUGCAUAUUCGCUGAUAGAUUUGCUUAAAGUUGAUGUUAAGAAUGAUACAGUACUUAAAUAUUUCUGUGUGGUAUAUGUAUUUGUUUCGCAAGAACUAAUAUAUAAAAGAGAAUAAAUUUUCAAGCACUGAUAGAAAACAAAGCCUUUUAUUGGCUGAAGGAAACCUGUGACCUCAGUGUUAUCUAAGAGAUUUGUAACCAUAGUAUGUCUAUUGCAAUUUUGUAGAAACAAUUAUGUGAUAUAAAAAUAAAAAAAACGUCAAUUUGGUCAGUGGUAACUAUUUUUUUAUUAAAUUACAAUACAGUAUUGUAAAGCGAAAUAUAAUGCACCAAUAUCAAAUAUUAAAAUAAAUAAUUCCAUUACACUUUUUUUAAUCUGAUGUUAUGUGCAGUAGGGCUUUUCAUUCAGUCAUUUGUUUCGAGCUUCUGUCAUAUGUCGUAUAAUCCGUGUAUAUUAAUAUUAUACACAGAUUAUACCACAUAUGACAGAAGCUCGAAACAAAUGACAAUCGAUGCUUACACUUUCAUUAUUAUUUUAUAUGUACAGAGCUAGAGCUCCAUUUUCCCGGUCCCUUUUGAAAUCCCGGGAAUCGAGAAUCGGUAAUUUAGAUUUCCCGAGACUUCCCAGGAAAUUUAAAAAUAAAAAGAAGAAAUUGUUUUUUUUUUAAUUCUUUUUUAAUGCAAUUACUUAGUAUAAAAACGUAUAAAAUUGACGAAAUAUUAAAAUUUUUUAAAAAAAUUCAAAAAAGCCAAUUCAAAAUUUUAUAGGAUAUUUAAAAAAUAGGAAAAUUAUAAAUUUGUAUAAUCUGAAUUUUCGUUGUUUUUAUUGAAAUAUGUUUUAAGAAAACAUAAAUUGUUGAAAAGAACUCAUAACAUGAAUCAAAACCACUUCUAUGCAAAAGGUAUAUUUAAUAAAAUUUUAAAAAUCCCAAUGGAUUAAAUAAAAUAGGUUCAUUCAGAACGUUUUCGGACCUAUCAGUCCAUCAUCAGUGAAUGCGUAUAUACAUACUUGAUAACUAGCCCCAGAACCAAACAAUGGUUGUACUUAUAAUUCAAUCUACAUUACAGUAUUGUGAAAUUGGAUAGGCGAUAGGCUAAACGCCGAUGUUAUAAGAAUACCUCCGGGAACAUGGUGAGACUCUAAACGAGAACCCUAACAACCAUCUUGGCCCAACGAGGUCUGCCUCGAUAAAUUGUUCAGUGUUUGAUCUUUCAGGCUGGCUCUUUUUUUUGUAGAGAAAUUUUUUGAAGUUGAAAACGCACGCUCGCUUUCUGUUGAUGUAGAUAUGAUGGUUUUAAGUGCAGUGAGUGAAUAAUUUUUAUUUAAAUGUCUGGUCAGCUUAUUUGAAUUAUAGAGUACUAGCUCUUGUUUAAUGACCUUUUUGGAAUUAUCCGUAGACAUAAUUUUAAUUCAAAAUAAAUAUUUAUGUUAUAAUUCUGAAUGCUUCAAAAUGAGUCAGAUCCGUCGCAUAAACAAUAGAGUGUUUAUGCUAACCGAUAUGGUACAUUAUGAUUUACGCCAAAAUUGGAAGGUUUAAAAUACAAUUGAAAAAGAAAUAUUUCAAGUGGAAUAGUUGAAAAUGAUUAUUAAGCAGACAGAGAUAAUUGUAUCAGAAACAUUUAUUAAUAAUUGUGAGUUACUAAUAUCUCCGCUCAUAAUUUAAAAUUAAAUAUUAAAAAAUCCCGGGAAAUCUGGAUUUCCAUUUUUUUACUGAUUUCCCGGGAAAUUUGUCCCGGGAAUGAAGCUCUAUACAGAGCUAGCCAAAAGUUUCCUCUCCCCCUCGUGUCUUUUGACCGAUUAUACUUAUAAUAGUGAAAUUUGGAGGGAGAAAAUAAACGGAUGUAGGUUUUCCAAACAGUCGUAACAGAUGACGUAAUAGUGGCAGAUGACGUUACAGAGCCACUUUGACCGAUAAUCUUAAAUGGGACCUUAUGGCAAGUGAUAUCUCCUUUGAAAGGUAUUGAAAAUGCCUAUUCAAUCGUUCUAAUUUUGUUAGAGUUUACAUUAUUUUUGAUGAAUAAAUUAAAAUUGUAGUUUCGCAAAUAAUUAAUAAAGAUUCAAAUGUCCGCCUAUGGUUAUUUGUCAAAAAAGUCGACGGUUCUCAGUUCUUUAGUUUUUUCGUAAACGUAAAUAAUGAAAGGAAGGAAUUCUUGUGUUUUAUGUUUCUGACAAUGAAUUUGUCAAAAUAUUCUCAAGCUGAGCCAAGGGAGUUUGAAAUUGAUAUUGUAUACAUUAUUUUUUUUUAGUAGCAAACUUUAAAACAGUCUAUAAAUUUUAUUUUGUGACAAUAUAAGGUAUAUGAGUAAAAAUAAUAAUUGAAAUAAUUUAAUAUUUAAUAAGUUUUUUAUUGAUAAAGAAUAUAAAAUCUAAAGGUAAUAUAAAAUUAUUAUUAGGCAAUUUCUUCAACACACUUGAUAGGAAAUAAUGUAUACUCGCUCAAACAUAAACGUAAAUAAUUUUUCUUUUCUAAAUUAAUGUAAGUUUUUAACAUUUAAAAUCUGUAUUUAACUCAGGCAUGUCAUAUUUAUUGAAUUAAUUAAUAUAGACAUCUACACGUGCGGAUGACGAAUAUAAAAUCUUAUUUAUUUUUCAAUGAAAUGACUUGACUAAUUAUUUAAGUUUACUAAUGGUAUAUUUUUUAUCCGAAAUUGGUUCAUUUCUUCCAAAAAUUAAUUAAAAUGAGUUUAAAAAUUACUUUUUAAUAAAAAUGUAUUAUAUUAAAAUUUAAAUAAUUAAUAAAAAACAACUAUCACUGAGAAAUUGAUAGUUUUUGGCCUUUUAUAUGUUGCGAUGAUACAUAUAUUUAACAAUUUGAAAUACUAGGAUCUUGGAGCUUCCACAAUUCGAACAUUUUAACGUUAUUUUUGGACCUGUGAAUCUAUGGUGUUGUAAAGUCUAGAACUAACAAUAUACCACGCAUAACAAUUUAUGUACUUUAUAUUAAUUUACCGAAAUCACCCCUAUGUUACCAAAACAUAUUUGCUUAUUAAUUAAAAUUGUUAUGUUAACGAAAAAUAUGGUCUUGUGUAUUUUCACUUAUGAAGCAGCCGAUGUUUGUAAAUGUGGCACUCAGUAUAACUUAGUUAUUGUGAUAGACCAAGGGUAAAUCUUUUUUUAAUUAUUUAUUCUAUUUUUUUACCUUGCACAAAUGAUACAAUCAAUAAAUAAUAUCGUGUCUGGUUAUUGCCUCUAUGGCGUUUUGUUAUUUUAAAGCUUUUUUGGUCAUGCCGCAGUUUAUUUAUUUAUUUAACUGAUGGAAAUUAUAUUCUAAUAAAGUACUAAAAAAAUAA